UAAAAACAAUUGUUUAGAUAUUCUCAGUUUAAAAUUUAAUAAGCACCACAUUGUUUGUUUGAUACAAAUUUUUUUUGGAACAACAAUCCACGCCUUCAUACCAGCUAAUAGCUAAUCGAAUAGCACGCUAUGAAGAUGCUUUAAAGGCUGGUGUAGUCUAUAAGAUUAAGAACUAGUCAUCAACAACAAAACAAGUUACAAGGUUGCUUCUUACAAAUUCUUAAUUCAGUUCACUCAGCAAACUUUUAUUGACCAAAAGGUAUAUAAAAGUUGAGGCUAUAAGACAUUGGUUAUUUAGUAUAUAUACUAUAUAAAAG
Molecule: long non-coding RNA, 317 nt
Filed under: Brassica napus (rape)
Lineage: Eukaryota; Viridiplantae; Streptophyta; Magnoliopsida; Brassicales; Brassicaceae
Description: long non-coding RNA (BNAP_LNC023072)
Source: RNAcentral